UACGGAGGGUGCGAGCGUUGUCCGGAAUCACUGGGCGUAAAGGGCGCGUAGGCGGCCGUGUAAGUCACUUGUGAAAUCCCGGGGCUCAACUCCGGGGCUGCAGGUGAGACUGCGUGGCUAGAGCACGGUAGAGGCGAGUGGAAUUCCCGGUGUAGCGGUGGAAUGCGUAGAUAUCGGGAAGAACACCGGUGGCGAAGGCGGCUCGCUGGGCCGUUGCUGACGCUGAGGCGCGAAAGCGUAGAGAGCAAACAGG
Molecule: ribosomal RNA, 253 nt
Filed under: uncultured bacterium
Lineage: Bacteria
Description: partial 16S ribosomal RNA
Rfam family: Bacterial small subunit ribosomal RNA
Source: RNAcentral